GUCGAUCUGUAUAUGUACAAGAGUCAUUUAGCAGGACAGCCAGCACCUGAUCCCUAGCACCUAUUGCUCAGUCAGAUUGCUAGCUGUGCAGAAAUCCCAAACAUGAGGCCAAAUUCCUGUUUCUCUGCUUGAACAAAAUUUAGGGGGUGGGGGCAAGAAAGUACAGGCAUGGAAAGAAAUAAGAUAUGUAAAUAAAUACCCAGCUUUCUUGUUACAGAAAGGACGGCUCUUCCGUUAACAGCUACAGCGCUCUGGGUCCCUGUGAGCCUCCCCAGUAGCCACAGCACUCCUGGCAGGCCCGUCCCCGCCACUGCUGCUUCCUCCCAGGAGCACACAUCCUGCCUGUUCCUGCUCCCACUCCUACCCUCAGGCCGUGGCAUGGAGGAAACGCUGGACACGGCAGUGGAGACUGGGAAUGGAGCCCUUGCAGGGCAUAUGUGGUGCCUUCUUACACUUGGAAAAAUAUGUUGCACGUGCUUAGAGGUGCUUCUACACACAACUGCCUAACCAGAUGUCAAACCAAUGAGUAAUAAGAAGAGUCAGCGGUUACUAUGAGAUAUUAAUUGUAUGCUUCAGUAAUUAGCUUCUGCUGAAAACCGGUUUUCCACAGGCCACAAUUUUAGGAUGGAAGUAGAGAGCAACAUAAAUGACAAGCAUAUAAACAUGCUGUGGUUAACCGUGUCAGUCGGUAGAUGGCUGUAUUGCUUCUAGCUGUCUUCAGGGAAUACGUUUCCAUUUCUAUGGCCAAGAAAGGGAAAGCUUUUUCCCAGAGAUACAAGGAGCCACUGAGAGUACAUGGAGACCUUUGCAUUUUGAUGUUUUAAAAUGGCUCCAUUUUAAAUACAAUAUUAUUCCUCCGUUUUUGUCUAUUUGUUAAUUGCACAGAAUUUUUUAACACUCUGGUUUAGCAGUCUAUCUGUUGGGUUUUUUUGCCUUACCUGAAGUAAAGUAAUCUACUUAAACUCACCUUAAACUCACACCCCGGGUUGUGAAAUCACAAAGACUCCAUUAUGGAGGAACUGGAUAUUUCAGCUGUUAAGAAAUGGGCUGCGAGGUUUUUAUGCUGUGUGUCGUGGGCUCAGAUCUGGUCCAUAUUCAUAGUUACUAUUCUGGGUUCUUCUAAUUGUUACCUGCUGGUUAUGCAAUAAUACCUUUCAG
Molecule: long non-coding RNA, 1158 nt
Filed under: Struthio camelus australis
Lineage: Eukaryota; Metazoa; Chordata; Aves; Struthioniformes; Struthionidae
Description: lncRNA (ENSSCUG00000015317.1)
Source: RNAcentral